RNAcentral lists this ribosomal RNA (247 nucleotides) under uncultured Gardnerella sp. RNAcentral's name for it is "partial 16S ribosomal RNA". It matches the Rfam family "Bacterial small subunit ribosomal RNA", at positions 108 to 355 of the family's 1533-position model. Lineage: Bacteria; Bacillati; Actinomycetota; Actinomycetes; Bifidobacteriales; Bifidobacteriaceae. The record is from RNAcentral.
GAGUAAUGCGUGACCAACCUGCCCCAUGCUCCAGAAUAGCUCUUGGAAACGGGUGGUAAUGCUGGAUGCUCCAACUUGACGCAUGUCUUGCUGGGAAAGUGUUUAGUGGCAUGGGAUGGGGUCGCGUCCUAUCAGCUUGUAGGCGGGGUAAUGGCCCACCUAGGCUUCGACGGGUAGCCGGCCUGAGAGGGCGGACGGCCACAUUGGGACUGAGAUACGGCCCAGACUCCUACGGGAGGCAGCAGCC